This 645-nucleotide ribosomal RNA is filed under the name uncultured bacterium. RNAcentral's name for it is "bacterial SSU rRNA". It matches the Rfam family "Bacterial small subunit ribosomal RNA", at positions 54 to 745 of the family's 1533-position model. The record is from RNAcentral.
CAUGCAAGUCGAACGAGAUCUUCGGAUCUAGUGGCGCACGGGUGAGUAACGCGUGGGAACCUACCUUUUAGUACGGGACAACGUUUGGAAACGAACGCUAAUACCGUAUACGCCCUCCGGGGGAAAGGUCUGCCGCUAAAAGAGGGGCCCGCGUCUGAUUAGCUUGUUGGUAGGGUAAUGGCCUACCAAGGCAACGAUCAGUAGCUGGUCUGAGAGGAUGAUCAGCCACACUGGGACUGAGACACGGCCCAGACUCCUACGGGAGGCAGCAGUGGGGAAUAUUGGACAAUGGAGGCAACUCUGAUCCAGCAAUGCCGCGUGUGUGAUGAAGGCCCUAGGGUUGUAAAGCACUUUCAACGGUGAAGAUGAUGACGGUAGCCGUAGAAGAAGCCCCGGCUAACUUCGUGCCAGCAGCCGCGGUAAUACGAAGGGGGCGAGCGUUAUUCGGAAUUAUUGGGCGUAAAGGGCUCGCAGGCUGCUUGAACAGUUAGACGUGAAAUCCCCGGGCUCAACCUGGGAACUGCGUUUAAUACUAGCAAGCUAGAGAAAUAGAGAGGAAAGUGGAACUCCCAGUGUAGAGGUGAAAUUCGUAGAUAUUGGGAAGAACACCAGUGGCGAAAGCGACUUUCUGGCUAUUUUCUGACG